RNAcentral lists this small RNA (29 nucleotides) under Bombyx mori (domestic silkworm). RNAcentral's name for it is "ovarian small RNA-31818". The record is from RNAcentral. Lineage: Eukaryota; Metazoa; Arthropoda; Insecta; Lepidoptera; Bombycidae.
UGACGUCGGCGAGGGGCGCCGUUGCCCUG